AUUGAACGCUGGCGGCAUGCCUUACACAUGCAAGUCGAACGGCAGCACGGGAGCAAUCCUGGUGGCGAGUGGCGAACGGGGGAGUAAAGUAUCGGAACGUGCCCAGUAGUGGGGGAGAACGUAGCGAAAGUUACGCUAAUACCGCAUACGUUCUAUGGAUGAAAGCGGGGGAUCGCAAGCCCUCGCGCGAUUGGAGCGGCCGAUAUCCGAUUGGGUAGUAGGUGGGUUAAAGGCUCACCAAGCCGACGAUCUGUAGCUGGUCUGAGAGGACGACCAGCCACACUGGGACUGAGACACGGCCCAGACUCCUACGGGAGGCAGCAGUGGGGAAUUUUGGACAAUGGGCGAAAGCCUGAUCCAGCCAUGCCGCGUGCAGGAUGAAGGCCUUCGGGUUGUAAACUGCUUUUGUACGGAACGAAAAGGUUUGGCCUAAUAAGCUGAGCUCAUGACGGUACCGUAAGAAUAAGCACCGGCUAACUACGUGCCAGCCGCCGCAGUAA
This 500-nucleotide ribosomal RNA is filed under the name uncultured bacterium. Its description in RNAcentral is "partial 16S ribosomal RNA". It matches the Rfam family "Bacterial small subunit ribosomal RNA", at positions 30 to 523 of the family's 1533-position model. The record is from RNAcentral.